This 421-nucleotide long non-coding RNA is filed under the name Helianthus annuus (common sunflower). The record is from RNAcentral. Lineage: Eukaryota; Viridiplantae; Streptophyta; Magnoliopsida; Asterales; Asteraceae.
ACAUAUCAUCUGAUAUUAUCGUUUUUCAAAUGGUUUACAAAGCAAGACAAAUUACAAGGUUCAUGACUGACUUCAUGAAUCCCAUUUUCACAAAACCUAUGUAUCUCACAGGCAUUUUUAUGCUGACGUACCUACUUUCACAUGUGUUUUCAGGAGCUAUUCCAUAGGACGAUGAUCACGAUUCUAGGGCGGACCUGUGCCUUAGAGACUAAAAACGAAGCUAGACUAGUUUAAUCAUGUUAUAAACUUUGUAUUUUCCUGUUUUGAAACAAUGGAACACUCUUGUCAAUAAAUAAAAUGUAACUUUAAUUUCCAUGGUUGUAUAACAAUUAAUUCUGUCCACGACACUCCCCGGCGUUUCCGCCGCGGUUGCAUGUUAUACGCGGCCGGGGUGUGACAGAAGAGUUGGUAUCAGAGCCAU